UGGGGAAUAUUGCGCAAUGGGCGGAAGCCUGACGCAGCAACGCCGCGUGAGUGAAGAAGGCCUUUGGGUUGUAAAGCUCUUUCGUCCGGGAAGAAGGGUGAUGGUGUAAAUAGCGCUGUGAUUUGAUGGUACCGGAAGAAGAAGCACCGGCAAACUUCGUGCCAGCAGCCGCGGUAAUACGAAGGGUGCAAGCGUUGUUCGGAAUUACUGGGCGUAAAGGGUUUGUAGGCUGAGAUGUAAGUCAAGUGUGAAAUCCCCGAGCUCAACUUGGGACGUGCAUUUGAGACUGUGUUUCUUGAGUAUCGUAGAGGGUGGUGGAAUUGUAGGUGUAGGAGUGACAUCCGUAGAGAUCUGCAGGAACAUCAGAGGCGAAGGCGACCACCUGGGCGAUUACUGACGC
This 400-nucleotide ribosomal RNA is filed under the name uncultured bacterium. Its description in RNAcentral is "bacterial SSU rRNA". It matches the Rfam family "Bacterial small subunit ribosomal RNA", at positions 355 to 746 of the family's 1533-position model. The record is from RNAcentral.